CCCAACCCUGCAAAAGAGAGGCCUUCCCCUGAUAACAUCCUUCUAUGUGGAAAAUUUGUCCCGCCGGCCACUUCCCCUAGCUUCUGCACCUUCUGCUCCUCCUCCAAAGCCAUCUUGUGCACCAUCACCUUUGAAAACUACAGCAGCAGGUUACUAAUCAGAUCAAUUAGCUAGCCACUGCUAAUUCACUUGAAUCAUUUUUUAUUAUAUAUGUCUCAUAUUGCCAUUAACUACAUAACGUGUUUCUUUUUUCUUUUUCUUUUUUUCUUUUUUUUUUUCCUAAUUUUCCAACUUUGGAAGAAAAAAAAUUACUUGCAAUGCUGAAAGAAUUCUGAAUUUUAUAUUUUAUGUCAUAGAUUGAUAAGAUUUUUUCCCUGACUCUUGAGAUAUAUUGAUGUUUUCCCAGCUACAUAAAAAUGUGACAAAUAUGCAACAGACAUGAGAGCUCAUUAAGCACAUUCUUAUUUUUAUUUUUUGUUGAACAAUGAUCAAUUACACGUUGAUGUUUCCUCAUCCAAGUAAUAAUUUGACAUAUAUGCAACAAACGUGAU
Molecule: long non-coding RNA, 551 nt
Organism: Rosa rugosa (rugosa rose)
Lineage: Eukaryota; Viridiplantae; Streptophyta; Magnoliopsida; Rosales; Rosaceae
Exons: 3
Source: RefSeq, a predicted model, not a curated record